GCCGACCCCAUUCAUUUAUUAAUGCGCAAGCGGAACGUAUUAUAAAACCCCUGACAAUAAAAUACGGGAUAGAAAAGCAGGAAACAAUUUCACAACCAAUCACUUACACAAACCAACAGAGUCACAGACGAAGGCCUACAGCCAAAAGUCUACAAAAGACCAACUCUUAAAAAUGAACUGUCUUACGACCUACAAGUCGGACACGUUCUCCGAUCUUAUGACUUCACAUUUGCAACUCCUCAAGGCCAACCAAAGCUAUCUGGCUGCUCCGUCCAUCAGGGACCUGAAAUUUUAAUCCCACAACCGGGAUGAGACGAUGUCUCAGCAAGUUCAACCCCCUAAACCCCUAUUAGAAAGAAAAUACGCCCAAGGAUGGCCUAGCCACGUCACACAGAGAACUUACCUCGCCUCAAUUCCUUACUGCAGGUUAGCACAAUUCGUAUUACACAAUCUCAGGUAGUAAUAAUAAUUCAAACAAUUGGAACGUCAUCACUUUCAUAUAAAUCACAGUCGCACUUAGCACACAUUCCAAUUAUUAUUCACUGCCACACAAGGGCAUAGCCUACUCGUAGUUCGGCUAUCUACUGACACUAAUGCCAGGCAUCGCCUCCCCCCCAUGGAGCGCGGCUUCGUCAUUACGUCGACGGCAUUCCCGAAGGAGUAUGGGUCCAGUCGGCCUAGCCACUACUGCGACCCGAGCCACGUCACUCUCCUGACGGCAUUUCUAUAAGAACAAAGGUCCAGUCGGCCUAGCCACUACUGCGACCCGAGCCACAUCACUCUCCUGACGGCAUUUCUAUGAGAACAAAGGUCCAGUCGGCCCAGCCACUACUGCGACCCGAGCCACGUCACUCCCUUGAUGGCAUUUCUAGUAGAAUAAGGAUCCAGUCGGCCUAGCCACUACUGCGACCCGAGUCUUUCAACCAGCACACAACAAUUCGAUAAUUAAUUGCACAAAUCAUCACUCAAUUUGAAAUAUCUAAUCAUCAAAUUCAUAAUCUGAAUACACAGCAGCGAUCAGCACGAAAUUCUAGGGAAAUAAGGUUCCCAAAUAAUUUUCAGAAAUUAUUAAAUAAUUAAAUUUAUUCCGAAAAUUAAUUAAAUAAUAAUAUUCAUAUAUUUCACGAUCCACGCUCAAUUUAUAAUAUCCAACCAUCAAUUUCGAAAUCCGAAUGCACAGCAGCGAUCGGCACGAAAUUCUAAGCAAUCGGGGUCAAAAAUAAUUUUUCCAUUUUUCCAAUUUUUUUUUAUAAAUAAUAAUAUUUUAAUAAUUUCGGAAUAUAAUGUAACAUUAUAAAUUCCAGAAUUCGAAAUCAUUAAAUAAUUCAAAAAUAAAACCCUAUUAUGACACAUCAAGGCUUUAUAUUAAAAACAAACAUACUUAACCUUAAACUAAACGCACUUUAACUUAAUUAAACACUCUAAUCUAAUCAUCAACCAAAUAAACUAAUCUAAUCACCUAAACUUACUUGAAUUAGACUAAGCACACUUAGGCCAUCAUUAACCCUCUAAGCAAGAUUUAGUGAGUUAAACUCACCGGAUUAGCGAGCCGAGCGAACCAAAACGACGGGGACGCCGAGGAAAACAACUUUCCUCAAAGCGGGCCAAGCAUCCGGGCUCGGGAAGGCGGCCAAAACGGGCCAAACCUGGGCUGCCAUACCCAUUUUCUGGGUUGCUGAUCGGGGCUGAGAGGGAGCAGAUCCGGCGCCGGUUGAGGUGAAUAAUGGCCGAGAUGGGCUGAGGGACCUCCGACGGGCUGAGGCGAAGGUGUACGGCGGUUCAUGGCGGCGGAGACGAGCUCCGGCAGCUCCUGGAAUGAGCGAACAGGGGCAGACGGAGGAGGCUGGGCGUCGGCUAGGUGCGGGCGAACGAGGAGCAGCGGCUGAGCGGGGCGGCGGACGGCGCGCGAGCGGCGGACGGCGGUUCGGCUGGGCUGCAGCUAGCCUCGCGUGCUCAAAUUUGUUGGGUGCGUUCGAACCUAGAGAAGAAGAAGAUGAACUUGAUGCCAGCAGGGGGGAAAGAGGCGAAGGUCCGAGCGGUGAGGCGCGGCUGCGACGGCGAGCGGCGAAGCAGCGACGGCGGCGUUGCGGCGACGCACGGAGGCUACGACGGCUUCGGCGGAUCUCCUGCAGCUGCUGAGGUCUUCUUCCGGUUGCUGGGUUCGAAGAAGCAAGGAGAAGAAGAUGGAGGAGAGAGG
This 2197-nucleotide long non-coding RNA is filed under the name Eucalyptus grandis. RNAcentral's name for it is "long non-coding RNA (EGRA_LNC001313)". Lineage: Eukaryota; Viridiplantae; Streptophyta; Magnoliopsida; Myrtales; Myrtaceae. The record is from RNAcentral.